RNAcentral lists this ribosomal RNA (2928 nucleotides) under Klebsiella sp. MPUS7. RNAcentral's name for it is "23S ribosomal RNA". It matches the Rfam family "Bacterial large subunit ribosomal RNA". Lineage: Bacteria; Pseudomonadati; Pseudomonadota; Gammaproteobacteria; Enterobacterales; Enterobacteriaceae. The record is from RNAcentral.
GGGUUGUGAGGUUAAGCGACUAAGCGUACACGGUGGAUGCCCUGGCAGUCAGAGGCGAUGAAGGACGUGCUAAUCUGCGAAAAGCGUCGGUAAGGUGAUAUGAACCGUUAUAGCCGGCGAUGUCCGAAUGGGGAAACCCAGUGCAAUUCGUUGCACUAUCGUUUGAUGAAUACAUAGUCAAACGAGGCGAACCGGGGGAACUGAAACAUCUAAGUACCCCGAGGAAAAGAAAUCAACCGAGAUUCCCCCAGUAGCGGCGAGCGAACGGGGAGCAGCCCGGAGUCUGAAUCAGCUUGUGUGUUAGUGGAAGCGUCUGGAAAGUCGCAGGGUACAGGGUGAUACUCCCGUACACUAAAACGCACAGGUUGUGAACUCGAAGAGUAGGGCGGGACACGUGGUAUCCUGUCUGAAUAUGGGGGGACCAUCCUCCAAGGCUAAAUACUCCUGACUGACCGAUAGUGAACCAGUACCGUGAGGGAAAGGCGAAAAGAACCCCGGCGAGGGGAGUGAAAAAGAACCUGAAACCGUGUACGUACAAGCAGUAGGAGCCUCUUUAUGGGGUGACUGCGUACCUUUUGUAUAAUGGGUCAGCGACUUAUAUUCUGUAGCAAGGUUAACCGUAUAGGGGAGCCGCAGGGAAACCGAGUCUUAACUGGGCGUUAAGUUGCAGGGUAUAGACCCGAAACCCGGUGAUCUAGCCAUGGGCAGGUUGAAGGUUGGGUAACACUAACUGGAGGACCGAACCGACUAAUGUUGAAAAAUUAGCGGAUGACUUGUGGCUGGGGGUGAAAGGCCAAUCAAACCGGGAGAUAGCUGGUUCUCCCCGAAAGCUAUUUAGGUAGCGCCUCGUGAACUCAUCUUCGGGGGUAGAGCACUGUUUCGGCUAGGGGGUCAUCCCGACUUACCAACCCGAUGCAAACUACGAAUACCGAAGAAUGUUAUCACGGGAGACACACGGCGGGUGCUAACGUCCGUCGUGAAGAGGGAAACAACCCAGACCGCCAGCUAAGGUCCCAAAGUCAUGGUUAAGUGGGAAACGAUGUGGGAAGGCCCAGACAGCCAGGAUGUUGGCUUAGAAGCAGCCAUCAUUUAAAGAAAGCGUAAUAGCUCACUGGUCGAGUCGGCCUGCGCGGAAGAUGUAACGGGGCUAAACCAUGCACCGAAGCUGCGGCAGCGACACUAUGUGUUGUUGGGUAGGGGAGCGUUCUGUAAGCCGUUGAAGGUGGCCUGUGAGGGUUGCUGGAGGUAUCAGAAGUGCGAAUGCUGACAUAAGUAACGAUAAUGCGGGUGAAAAACCCGCACGCCGGAAGACCAAGGGUUCCUGUCCAACGUUAAUCGGGGCAGGGUGAGUCGACCCCUAAGGCGAGGCCGAAAGGCGUAGUCGAUGGGAAACAGGUUAAUAUUCCUGUACUCGGUGUUACUGCGAAGGGGGGACGGAGAAGGCUAUGUUGGCCGGGCGACGGUUGUCCCGGUUUAAGCAUGUAGGCGGAUGUUCCAGGUAAAUCCGGAACGUUAUUAACGCUGAGGUGUGAUGACGAGGCACUACGGUGCUGAAGUGACAAAUGCCCUGCUUCCAGGAAAAGCCUCUAAGCAUCAGGUAACAUCAAAUCGUACCCCAAACCGACACAGGUGGUCAGGUAGAGAAUACCAAGGCGCUUGAGAGAACUCGGGUGAAGGAACUAGGCAAAAUGGUGCCGUAACUUCGGGAGAAGGCACGCUGAUAUGUAGGUGAAGUGGUUUACCCAUGGAGCUGAAAUCAGUCGAAGAUACCAGCUGGCUGCAACUGUUUAUUAAAAACACAGCACUGUGCAAACACGAAAGUGGACGUAUACGGUGUGACGCCUGCCCGGUGCCGGAAGGUUAAUUGAUGGGGUUAUCCGUAAGGAGAAGCUCUUGAUCGAAGCCCCGGUAAACGGCGGCCGUAACUAUAACGGUCCUAAGGUAGCGAAAUUCCUUGUCGGGUAAGUUCCGACCUGCACGAAUGGCGUAAUGAUGGCCAGGCUGUCUCCACCCGAGACUCAGUGAAAUUGAACUCGCUGUGAAGAUGCAGUGUACCCGCGGCAAGACGGAAAGACCCCGUGAACCUUUACUAUAGCUUGACACUGAACACUGGUCCUUGAUGUGUAGGAUAGGUGGGAGGCUUUGAAGCGUGGACGCCAGUCUGCGUGGAGCCAUCCUUGAAAUACCACCCUUUAAUGGCUGGUGUUCUAACGUGGGCCCCUAAUCGGGGUUGCGGACAGUGUCUGGUGGGUAGUUUGACUGGGGCGGUCUCCUCCUAAAGAGUAACGGAGGAGCACGAAGGUCAGCUAAUCCUGGUCGGACAUCAGGAGGUUAGUGCAAUGGCAUAAGCUGGCUUGACUGCGAGCGUGACGGCGCGAGCAGGUGCGAAAGCAGGUCAUAGUGAUCCGGUGGUUCUGAAUGGAAGGGCCAUCGCUCAACGGAUAAAAGGUACUCCGGGGAUAACAGGCUGAUACCGCCCAAGAGUUCAUAUCGACGGCGGUGUUUGGCACCUCGAUGUCGGCUCAUCACAUCCUGGGGCUGAAGUAGGUCCCAAGGGUAUGGCUGUUCGCCAUUUAAAGUGGUACGCGAGCUGGGUUUAGAACGUCGUGAGACAGUUCGGUCCCUAUCUGCCGUGGGCGCUGGAGAAUUGAGGGGGGCUGCUCCUAGUACGAGAGGACCGGAGUGGACGCAUCACUGGUGUUCGGGUUGUCAUGCCAAUGGCAUUGCCCGGUAGCUAAAUGCGGAAGAGAUAAGUGCUGAAAGCAUCUAAGCACGAAACUUGCCCCGAGAUGAGUUCUCCCUGACCCUUUAAGGGUCCUGAAGGAACGUUGAAGACGACGACGUUGAUAGGCCGGGUGUGUAAGCGCAGCGAUGCGUUGAGCUAACCGGUACUAAUGAACCGUGAGGCUUAACCUUACAACGCCGAAG